CCUGCUCCACUCCAUCUAUGAGCAGGGUUCCCUGUUUUUAUCCGGCUUCCACAGCUAGUCCUUGCGUCUGGCGGGAUUAGCUCAGCUUUUGUCCAUGUGUGUGUGUCCAGUGCGUCUUGCACCUGGGCUCUUUUGUAAAUAGUUGUUUUGAGGUAAGUUGGCCUUUGCGUCUUGCAGGGAGCGACUGGUACCGGGACUUUUUUAAAUGGUAAGGAUUUAUUUGAUGUUUCUUUAUGACGGGCCACAGCCGGAGUGAUUGUCCUGUCACUGUUUUAAAACAUGCAUGAUAGAUUAGGUUUAGUUAGGUUAGAGUUAAGAAUUAGAGUUAACCUUUUUAAUCCCAGCAAGUGAGGACAGGAGGCGACAUCAGCAGAGGACAGAGACCAAAGAAGACUUCUUUAUCAACCAAAACAAUGUAAGCAAAAAUACUGACCACACAUGUAAUGUAAAAAUAAACUUUACAUUAUAAUAAUGUCUGUAAAAUGUAUGACAGGUGCACCAGCAUCCACAGCAGUAGUCCCAUAAGUAGUCUGAGGAGGAAACAUCAGCAGAAAGCGAAACAAUCAAUGUAAGUAAAGCCUCUCAUUGACACAGAACGACACUGAACUAAUGUUUGAUGUAAAAAUAGACGUGACUUAAUACUAAUGCCUGUAAAAUGUUGGACUGGAACAACGGCAUCCACUGAUGGAGGAGGAGGAUGAAGAUGGAGGACAGGAGCACCAGCAUCCACAGCAGCUUGAUGAGGAAACAUCAGCAGAGGACAGAAAGACUUCUAUUAACCAAAAACAAUACAGGAGUGCUAGCAUCCACUGAUGGAGGAGGAGGAGAAGAAAGAUGGAGGACAGGAGCACCAGCAUCCACAGCAGCCUGAGGAGGAAUCAUCAGCAGAGGACAGAAAGACUUCUAUUAAGCAAAAACAAUCAAUAGUUUUGCUUCAGAGGAGAAUCAGACAGAUCCAGAUGUUCAUCACCACAGCAGAGAAUGAGACACCAGAGCUGCAGUGUUAACACAGACUGCUUUAGUUUAAACUUUAGAUAAAAAAACUAUUAAACUUGGUGAAAUGUUUUGUGUGCUUGAUCAACUCACUUUCCAUAUGAAUCUGAGCUCAUCUUCAUCACUGAGAGAUUUACCAAGUAUUUUGUAUCUUAACUUGAGCCAAU
RNAcentral lists this long non-coding RNA (1160 nucleotides) under Gouania willdenowi (blunt-snouted clingfish). Its description in RNAcentral is "lncRNA (ENSGWIG00000025064.1)". The record is from RNAcentral. Lineage: Eukaryota; Metazoa; Chordata; Actinopteri; Blenniiformes; Gobiesocidae.